This 406-nucleotide ribosomal RNA is filed under the name uncultured bacterium. RNAcentral describes it as "partial 16S ribosomal RNA". It matches the Rfam family "Bacterial small subunit ribosomal RNA", at positions 30 to 526 of the family's 1533-position model. The record is from RNAcentral.
AUUGAACGCUGGCGGCAGGCCUAACACAUGCAAGUCGAACGAGUGGCGGACGGGUGAGUAAUGUCUGGGAAACUGCCUGAUGGAGGGGGAUAACUACUGGAAACGGUAGCUAAUACCGCAUACCAUCGGAUGUGCCCAGAUGGGAUUAGCUAGUAGGUGGGGUAAAGGCUCACCUAGGCGACGAUCCCUAGCUGGUCUGAGAGGAUGACCAGCAGCACUGGAACUGAGAAACGGUCCAGACUCCGACGGGAGGCAGCAGGGGGGAAUAUUGCACAAUGGGCUCAAGCCUGUUGAAGACAGUCCGCGGGUAUGAAGAAGGCCUGCGGGUUGUAAAUUACUUUCAGCGAGGAGGCGUUACCCGCAGAAGAAGCACCGGCUAACUCCGUGCAAGCAGCCGCGGUAAUAC